RNAcentral lists this ribosomal RNA (1341 nucleotides) under uncultured bacterium. Its description in RNAcentral is "bacterial SSU rRNA". It matches the Rfam family "Bacterial small subunit ribosomal RNA", at positions 28 to 1381 of the family's 1533-position model. The record is from RNAcentral.
GACGAACCCCUGUCUUGCUUGCCUUACACAUGCCAGUCGAACGGAAAGGCCUUUUCGGACGCACUCGAGUGGCGAACGAGUGACAAACACGUGAGUGAUCUGCCCUGCACUCUGGGACAUAGCCAGGGAAACUGGGUCUAAUACCGGAUCGGACUGCACUUUAGUGGGUGUGGAGGAAAGUUUUUUCAGAGUAAGAUGAGCCCCCGGCCUAUCAUCUUGGUGGUGGGGUAAUGGCCUACCAACGAGGCGACCGGUAGCCGGACUGAGAGGUUGGUCGGCCACAUUGAGACUGAGAUACGGCCCACACUCCUACGGGAGGCAGCAAAGGGGAAUAUUGCACAAUGGGCGCAAGCCUGAUGCACCGACGCCACGUGAGGGAUGACGGCCUUAGGGUUGUAAACUCCUUUCACCAGGGAUGAAGCGUUUUGCGACAAUACCUGGAGAAUAAGCACCGGCUAACUACGUGCCAGCAGCCACGGUAAUACUUACGGUGCUAGCGUUGUUCCGGAAUAACUGGGCGUAAAGAGCUCGUAGGUGGUUUGUCACGUCGUCUGUGAAAUUCCACAGCUUAACUGUGGGCGUGCAGGCGAUACGGGCUGACUUGAGUACUGUAGGGGUAACUGGAAUUCCUGGUGUAGCGGUGAAAUGCGCAGAUAUCAGGAGGAACACCGAUGGCGAAGGCAGGUUACUGGGCAGUUACUGACGCUGAGGAGCGAAAGCAUGGGUAGCAAACAGGAUUAGAUACCCUGGUAGUCCAUGCCGUAAACGGUGGGCGCUAGGUGUAGGGGCCUUUUGGGGUUUCUGUGCCGUAGCUAACGCAUUAAGCGCCCCGCCUGGGGAGUACGGCCGCAAGGCUAAAACUCAAAGGAAUUGACGGGGGCCCGCACAAGCGGCGGAGCAUGUGGAUUAAUUCGAUGCAACGCGAAGAACCUUACCUGGGCUUGACAUACACCAGAUCGCUGCAGAGAUGUAGUUUCCCUUGUGGCUGGUGUACAGGUGGUGCAUGGCUGUCGUCAGCUCGUGUCGUGAGAUGUUGGGUUAAGUCCCGCAACGAGCGCAACCCUUGUCUUAUGUUGCCAGCACGUUAUGGUGGGGACUCAUGAGAGACUGCCGGGGUUAACUCGGAGGAAGGUGGGGACGACGUCAAGUCAUCAUGCCCCUUAUGUCCAGGGCUUCACACAUGCUACAAUGGCCGGUACAAUGCGCAGCGAGCCUGUGAGGGUGAGCUAAUCGCUUAAAGCUGGUCUUAGUUCGGAUUGGGGUCUGCAACUCGACCCCAUGAAGUCGGAGUCGCUAGUAAUCGCAGAUCAGCAAUGCUGCGGUGAAUACGUUCCCGGGCCU